AUGGCGCAACUGGAGCAGCCAGGAUCAACGAACAUGACCAAGGCGUUGGAAGCUCUUUCGCCGUGGCUCGAGAACCCACGGAGCAUAGUCACGCAAGUGGAGGCACUCGUCCUCGCCGCAGCCGUGCUCCUGCUCCUCCAGCUGCUCCUCUGUUCCUGCAGGCGGCAGUCGAGCAACGCCCUCAUCCAGGGCGGCGCGUGGGUGUCCUACACCAUGUCGUUCCCUCUGGUCACCUACGCCUUGGGCAUGAUGCAGACUUCCCCGGUGAAGAAUGUCAUGUACCCCGUCUGGGCCGUCUCCUUGUUCCUGGUUGCUGGAUGCACCAACGUGGUGACAUCCUACGAUCUUGACGACAACAAGCAGUGGAAGAAGCAUCUGUUCGAGCUGUUUCAGUAUGCCCUCUACUCAGCAAUUAACAUUAAGCUGCUUUUCCCUUAUAGCACCGCAGAAAUAUUCAGUCUUGAGGCUAAAUCUAUCGAGUCUAUAUCCAUCACCCCUGUUAUCAUGAUCCUCAACUUGAUUGUGCUGCUCACAAAUUUUGUGAAAGUUAUCUCGUGCUGGAAGGUAGGCGUUGACUUCUCCACCAUACGAGUUGCUCAUUUCAUGAAGCAGCAGGCCAGAGAGGAAGGUCCUAGUGUGUUCAACCCUGAAACCAUGGAAGGCUACAAGUACCCUAUUCGCUGCGGUAGAGACGUAACAAUCGGCAUUGACGAGGUCUGGAAAUCGGAAAGCACGCUUUUCAAGUCAGGUCGUUCCACGAAACUGAAAGAUUUUUGCCUAUCAUAUGCCUUGUUUAAGCUCUUGAGACGGCAGUACCAUGGGAUGGAAUGUGCUGAAGCCGGCCUUCCUGAAACCCGUGAUUUUGUCUUGAAGGGAUUGCUGCUGAAAGAAGACGACUGGCAUAUUGCAAGGGCGUUCAGGAUUGUAGAAGUAGAAUUGGGGUUCUAUCAUGACUUUCUCUUCACCAAAUACAGUAUCAUCACUAAGUGGGAGAAAUUGUUCUUUGCAAUGUGGAUUCUGAGGAUACUUCUUAUAUCUGUUGUUUUACGCUAUGUGACCCAGAAUUCAUUGGCUGUCAUGACGAAAGCUGCUAUCAUCGAGGUGCCUACCAAGACUGCUGAUACUCUCAUUACUGUACUUGUUCUAACCAUUAUUCUCGUGGUUGAAGUUCUGCAAGCUCUGCUUUACCUGGUAUCAGACUGGGCCAAAGUAUCAUUUACCAAGAAAUAUGUCAGAAACCCUUCUUACCGGGUCAAUGCUUUUUUUCUGAAGAUUAUUGUUACCAUCAGCAAGUUUAGCAUUUUGAGUUAUUGGGCAAAACAAAUUGGACAGAGUUCGGUGAUUUCAGACAACAAAUCUUUUGCCAGACAUCUGCAGUAUGUCACAGAACGCCCUCCACACCCACUUGUGAUGUUGUUCAGCACCUCCAAUCUUGGCAAAAGGACAAACAGGGUGCGCGUGUGUAGCUUGGUCAAGGGAGCUAUGGCAAGGUCCAUUAAAAUGAGUGAAGAUCCUCUAACUAACGGCAAGUCAUCACUAGACCGCAAUGGAGUGCUGGGAGAAUUCUUGUGGGCACUGAAUGGACAAACUCAGACAGAGAUCAUGCUAAUUUGGCACAUUGCGACUGAGUACUGCGAUAUUGCUCUAACCUAUGCUGCUCUGCCUAAUGCCAAGGAAACAGAUAAAAACAUAAAGUGCCACCGUGAAGUUGCAGUCUGGUUGUCAAGAUACUGUGCAUACUUGAUAGAUUCCGCCCCAGAACUGCUUUCAGACUACAUAGAUACGGAGAUGCCCAUAGCCAUGCUGAUGCAAGAGAUGCGCAAAGCUUUCGGAAAAUGUACAUCCACGCAUGCCAAAUUUGAGGUCAUGAAGAAUUUAGAAGAGCAGGAGAAGAAGACCAUGUUCAGGCAGGGAGUGAAGCUGGGGAAGCAGCUUGAGUGCUUGGAUGCUGCUGGGCGGUGGAAGGUGAUGGAGGAAUUCUGGUCGGAGACCAUCGUCUACAUUGCACCAUCAGAUAAUGUCAACGGGCACUUGGAACGCCUUGCAAAAGGGGGAGAGUUUCUAACCCACAUCUGGGCUCUGCUAUCUCACGCUGGCAUCCGGGCGAUAAACAGGGAGCAAGAUAACAACACCAUGCCCAGCCACCCAUCCCAAGAAAAUGUGUGA
RNAcentral lists this ribosomal RNA (2166 nucleotides) under Triticum aestivum (bread wheat). RNAcentral's name for it is "partial small subunit ribosomal RNA". The record is from RNAcentral. Lineage: Eukaryota; Viridiplantae; Streptophyta; Magnoliopsida; Poales; Poaceae.